UUUCAGUCUCUUUAAUUACAUUUGAUAAAAUUUUAUAAUUUUCUUUUUAAAGAUCAUGCACCUCAUUUGUUAGAUUUAUUCCUAGGUACCUUAUUUUUAUGCUAUUACAAGUUAUAUAAAAGUGAUCUUUUACAAAUUAUAUAUUUUCGCUAUUUGUUGCAGUGUUUAGAAUACUACCAAUUUUUGCAUAUUGAUCUCAAAGCCAUAGCAGAAUAUCAUACUACCUUAUCAUAAUAGCAGACAUUCAUAUAACUUACUAUGUGUCAGGCACUGUUCUAGGCAUUUUACAUGGAUGACAUGCAUUCAAUCUCACAAUGACCCAGUGAGGGAGAUCUUAUUAUUAUAAUUAUUUAUAGUGAGGAAACUGAAGUCCAAAGAAGUGCAGAGAACUUAAGUAGAUUCCAUCAUAAGUGGUGAAGCCAGGAUUCAAACUCAUUCUCCAGCAUCCAGGGCUAUACUCGUGGUACUGCAUUUACUUCUUACUCUUGGUAAGCCCUGUUAUUAAUUCCGAUAAUAUGCCUGUCUAUUCUCAGGUUUUCCAUGCAAACAACGAUAAUAAAUACCUUAAAAUCAGCUAGCAAACACACAAAUGGUUAAUGCCAUAGUAAAGUGUGUAGGAUGUGUGUGUGUGUGUGUGCAGAGUGUGUAUGUAUGGGGUGUGUAUGUGUGAGGUAUGUGGAGUGUGUGUGUGUGUAGAGAGUGUGUGGAGGGUGUAUGUAUGGGGUGUGGGAGGGUGUAUGCAUGUAUUGUGUGUAUGUGUGUGUGAUUUGUAUGUGUGAAUGUGUUUUUGUGUGUAGUGUGUGUGUGGAUGUUGUUUGGGAGUGUGUGUGUGGAUGUGAAUGUUUAGGUUCUGUGUGUGUGUGUUUGCGGAGUGUGUGGAGUGUGUAACAUGGUGUGUGUAUAUGUUUGGGGUGUGUGUGUAGAUAUGUGUGUGUGAGUGUGUGUGUUAUGGAGUGUGUGUAUAUGUAUGUUUGGGUGUGUGUGGGGUGUGUGUAUAGUGUGUGGGAGGUGUGAGUGCAUAUUGAGUGUGUGUAUAUGUGUAUGUUUCGGGAGGUUUGUGUGUGGAGUGUGUGUGUAGAGUGUGUGUGUAUGGGGUGUGUGUGUGUGGAGUGUGUGUGUAUGAAGCGUGUGUGGGGAGUGUGUGUGUAGAAUGUGUGUGUGGAGUGUGUGUAUGUUUGGGGGUGUGUGUAGGUGUGUGGAGAGUGUGUUUUGGGGUAUGUGUAUAAAGUGUGUGUAUAGUGUGUGUAUAGAGCGUGGUUGUUCCGUGGUAUAGAAUGUGUGUGAGUAUGUAUGUUUGGCUCGUGUGUGUAGUGUGCGUGCGGGUGUGUCUAUGUUUGUGUGUGUGUAGAGUGUGGUUGUUUGCGAUGUGUGUGGUGUGUGUGUAGAGUAUGUAUGUUUUGGGUUUGUGUAUGUGGAGUGUAUGUGUGGAUUGUGUGCCUGUGUGUAUGGGGUGUGUGUGGCGUGUGUGUAGAGUGUAUGUUGGGAUGUGUGUGUGGAGCGUGUGUGUGCACGUGUGUGUAUGUUUGUGUGUGUGUGUAGUAUGUGUGUAGUUUGUGUGUGUGUAUUUUUGGAUGUGUGUGUAUGGGUGUGUGUGUAAUGUGUGUGUAGUUUGCGCAUGUGUGUGUUUAUUUGGGUGUGUGUGUGUGGAGUGUGUGUGCAUGUUUGGGUGUGUGUCUAUUGUGUGCAUGUGUAUGUAUAUUGGGGUGUGUGUGUGUGGAGUGUGUGUGUACGUGUAUGUUUGGGUGUGUGUGGAGUGUGUGUGCGCGUGUGUGUGUAUGUUUGGGGUAUGUGUGUGUAGCGUGUCUGUGUGUGUGUUUGGAUGGGGAACGUUAUAAAGAGCACCAUUCUCAAAGCGCAGGGAAUUCGCGAGCCCUGGGGAUCGCUGGUCUACUUCCUAAGCAGCAAGGAAUGUUAUGCAUUUCAGCGCUUGCUAAGUCAGUGCGUCCUCAGAGAGGGCUUGCAGGCUCCAGGGAGGCCUGCAUAAGGAGUGAGGCCUGGGCCAAGCCCAACAGAAAGUGUCAAAUAACAGGCCUGCCCCUUCCCCACCCUCCACCCCCAGAUUUGGGCUGAAUCAAAGGGCCAUUCAAGCCCCUCCCUUUCACAGGCCGAGGCCAUCAGCGGGCCAUCCCCUGAGGGAAAUGAAUCUGCUUCAGUGCAUUGGAGGGGUAACCGCUCUUCCUGAAUGGUGUCGGGUAGGAGGAGGGAUACCUGUGUAUGUUCCUCUGUGGCGUCCCAAAUGCUCCUUCAUGAAUUGAGGAAUUGACUGGACAGUCAUUCCCCUAGACCUCACUACAAAUUAGACUUUUGUUCACCUGUUUCAAACGAAUGUUUUUUAGUGCUUUGCAUAGUGUGAAAAACAAUAACAAACCCCAGGGUUUGGGUCAUCUUGGAUGAGUCACUUGAAUCUCUGUGGCUCUCAGUUUCCUCUCUGUAAAAUGAAAGUGUAAACUAGAUCAGUGGUUUUCAAACAGUACUCUCCUGAGUCCUCCCUGAAGCUAGAACAACUAGGAGGAAGAGAAAUGGAAGAAUUAACUGAGCAAUUUAGCCCGUUUGCGUCUGUCGUCUUUGACUUCAGACCAUUUUCAAUACAAUCUGGUUGAGCAGUUAAUUCUAACAAACCUGGUUCUGGGAUUUGCUAAUCUCUCAACAAUUCCAGGUGACUCCCAAAGCAGGAGCCACAGUCUCUGCACGGGCUUGACCCAUAUUGUCAUGUUUUGGAAGGUGUGGAAGAUUCCUGCCAACAUCAUAGCAUCAUGUUAUUCUCAAGGAGACUAAGGAAGACUUAAAACAACCCAUGUGGGUGCAGAAGGUGGCCCCGUGGCCUGUGUUGAAGUGGGAUCUCACAGAUCCACAUUGUAUUUUCACAAAUACAUGUGAGAUUUUCCACGAGAUUCUGCAAGAAUUUCCCUGUGAGUCCUUUCUUGAGUUCCAAAGUUGGGUAAUGAUGAAACAGAAGAGUUCCCUGACCCCUCUCACAGGACGUGAAACAAGGGUGUGGCUUGUCUGUUAGAUUGCUGACACCACUCAAACCCCUUACAGGAUGGAAAGCAUGCAGAUGGGCAGGUGCAGGAGUCCAAGUGGGCACGUGUUACAAUGUGCUCUUUUAGCCGUCUGCGAAUGGCUUGAGUGUUAGCGAGCAAGGGCAGAGGGCCAGUGUGACAGCUUUAUGUAUCCCAAGCUCUUGUCCAGCAUCCUGGAAGAACUGGGUCACACAUGCACUUGAAGGAUAAAUGUGGGGGUCUUACUGAAUGGCGGAGGUGGCUCUCAGCAGGAUGGAUGGAGAACCUGAAGGGAGGACGGAGUAGGAAGAUGGGCUUCUCCUGGAGUUUGGCCUUCCGGCAGCUGAACCGCCCCGGGCUAAACUCUUAGUGUUGAGACAUUCCUCCUCUUCUCUCUUUCUGCCGCAGCAUUUUGACAUUCCUCUGCUUGUCUCCUUGUCUGCCCAUCUGCUUCUGGAACCUGGGGGUUUGGGGUUUAUAUGGGUACAGGAUAGGGGGGCAUGGCGGGCCAAAAGGCAAAUUUUGCAUUCAAAAACAGAAAUGCCUGUUUCCAUUUAGGGCCGAGGGUCUCUGGACUUCAGGGUGGGGCCUUUGCCAGGGAACCACCCUCUUCUACCCAGUAUUUCCCUGUCUCCUAUCCAUAUCAAUGAGGCUUUUCCUGUUUUCUAAAAUGCUUCAGUUAUUCACUAGUCUAGAAGUUAAAAUCAUUAGAGUUGUUGCUUGUUAACCUACUCUAUGGAUCCUCUCUCUUGUCUUGAGAUCAGAAACCAUGGCUUUUCACUAUGAAUCCCCAGACCUGGCAAAGUCCUUGCCCUACAGAGGUGACUGUUUUCCAAAAAUAGAAACAGCAGUAUUUCCAGUUUCACAUGUUUUUCCACAAACUUUCCAUUUCCCAUCAUGAGGCAGAAUCUAUUCGUCUUCUCCAGAGACUCAGGAUUGGGGAAGGGCUGACUCCGUGACUGUCUUGAUAAUUGGAAUGCUACAGAUUGCUUGACUUCCAAGGCUAUGUUAUAAAAAGCAAUUAGGCUUCUGCCUGCAGCUCUCUCCCUAGGGAUGUUCACCCUUGAAACCAGCCACUGGGUUAUGAGGAAGCCUCAACUAGCUCAUGUGGAGGGUGAAAGAUGCCCCCAGCCAACAGCCAGCUUCACCCACCAGGAUAGAUGAGUGAAUUAAUGAGCCUUCAGUUGAUCCCAUCCUCCAGUUCUCAAGUCUUCCAGCUGAAUCCUCAGACAUUGCAGAGCAGAGACGGGGUAUCCUUGGUGUGCCAUGGCCAAGUCUUAACCCACACAGUUGAGUCU
Molecule: long non-coding RNA, 4297 nt
Filed under: Homo sapiens (human)
Lineage: Eukaryota; Metazoa; Chordata; Mammalia; Primates; Hominidae
Description: HSALNT0071362
Source: RNAcentral